GAUGAACGCUGGCGGCGUGCCUAAUACAUGCAAGUCGAGCGAACAGACGAGGAGCUUGCUCCUUUGACGUUAGCGGCGGACGGGUGAGUAACACGUAGGUAACCUACCUAUAAGACUGGGAUAACUUCGGGAAACCGGAGCUAAUACCGGAUAAUAUUUCGAACCGCAUUGUUCGAUAGUGAAAGAUGGCUUUGCUAUCACUUAUAGAUGGACCUGCGCCGUAUUAGCUAGUUGGUAAGGUAACGGCUUACCAACGCAACGAUACGUAGCCGACCUGUGAGGGUGAUCGGCCACACUGGAACUGAGACACGGUCCAGACUCCUACGGGAGGCAGCAGUAGGGAAUCUUCCGCAAUGGGCGAAAGCCUGACGGAGCAACGCCGCGUGAGUGAUGAAGGUCUUCGGAUCGUAAAACUCUGUUAUUAGGGAAGAACAAACGUGUAAGUAACUGUGCACGUCUUGACGGUACCUAAUCAGAAAGCCACGGCUAACUACGUG
This 497-nucleotide ribosomal RNA is filed under the name uncultured bacterium. RNAcentral's name for it is "partial 16S ribosomal RNA". It matches the Rfam family "Bacterial small subunit ribosomal RNA", at positions 28 to 507 of the family's 1533-position model. The record is from RNAcentral.